This is a long non-coding RNA of Rhinichthys klamathensis goyatoka, 765 nucleotides long. RefSeq lists it as uncharacterized. NCBI's taxonomy places the organism in Eukaryota, Metazoa, Chordata, Actinopteri, Cypriniformes, Leuciscidae. The transcript is spliced from 5 exons. The record is from RefSeq and is a predicted model, not a curated record.
CACACUCACUUUGCCGGCCGAGGACCGUGAGCGGUAUUUAAAUAAGCUACUGGAUACAGGGUUACAGAGGUGUCCUUUUGAAAUGGUCGAAACCUGGAUUAAUGACCCCACGCAGUGGCCAAAUAUGGACUAUUCAGACAUCUACCACUAUCUCGUGGAAUCACCAAGCCUGUAUACAUCGGAAACAAUGAAAAACAAAAGGUCCCUGGAGGCCCAUAAGUUUUUCGUCAGUGGUUGGGUCCAGACUGUUUUACACAUAAAAACAGACAAGUGCUUUGUUUUUAAAAGCAGUGUUAAACCUUCUUGGAGGGUGACUAACAAGCCCCACAACACCUGGGUAGCUGUGGAAAAUAGUGGCAAAGUUAGAGCAGCUCACUGCGACUGCAUGGCAGGACUAGGUGAAAGCUGGUCCCAUGUGGGUGCAGUUCUGUAUAAAUUGGAAGCCUCGAUCAGUCCGCCUGGGCAUCACCACCACUGUUCAACUGCAAAUGUUUGUGUGUGCAGCACAGUAUGCAGAUUUUGUUACUUGGACCCCACAGCAGACCACCAUCUUUAGAAUCUUAAAAGAUGAAGAAUUCAUUCACGGAACGGUGGACGUCAUCAGCAGAUUUUGGGCAAAACACAUCCACCCGCGAUUGAUGACAACAGUGCUACAAAGUGAGACUGAACCAGACAGCGAGGGAGUGGACCGUCAAGGAUGUGAAAGCGACCUUUCAGCACACCAAUCACCCGCUCUGUAAGGACGACAACAACAAAAAGGGAGUG